CAAGAGGGAGCUGGUGUAAACUAGUUUACUUUCACUUGGGUUUCGGGGAAAAAUCUCUUUUUAUUUCCAAGAAAUUUUCAAUGCUGCAGCCAAGGAAAUGAAAUAUGCAUUAGCAACCAAACAAAAACAAGGAAGGCAAUGGUAAUAUAGCUAUUAGCUUGAAAACAAGGUUGCCAGAACCGUGACUAUUCUACUACGAUUGCCAGCCGACACUACACGUCAAAAAGAUAAAGAAGCCAGGAAGGAUGGCAGAAGGCUAUACUGAGGCAUCAUAUGCUGUGGAUGAAAAGAAGUUUUCAGGGUGGCUUUAUAUUAUUAUGAAGGUAAAAGGCCUGAAAGUAAAGAAAGAAGGAGGACUGUUCGGAAAGAAAAAAGUUGCUAAAAAUGCAAAUAUUGAAGAGCCAGCAUUUGGUGAAAGGACAGUAACAGUAAAAGUAGAUGGUAAAGAUAAUUUAGCUGGUACUAAUAUAGAGUUGGAUAUAAAGAGACUGCCGUAUGAUAUUGUACCAUCAAGCUGCUAUAUAGAGCCAGAGGAGGAUCGGAUUUUGGUUUAUCUUAAGAAGUCAGACAGUAAUCAAUCCUGGAAAACCUAUAUCGAAGGCAGUGGUAUUGAAACAGAUGAUUAACAUCUUUAUAUUGUAUAAAUAAUGGUUAUAUUGAAUAUAUAUGGAUAAUAUAUAUAUAGGAUAAUCUUGGUGGGAUUAUUGCUAUUAGUUUUUUUUUAGUAUUAUUAUGUUAAAGAUGGAUAGAUACAUAUAAAAAAAAACUGUAAUGAAAGUAUAAAGCAAUUAUUUUAAAAUAUGUAAUAGAUGCAAUAUUGAAAAUUAUUUAGUUUUUGUCAGGAUAUGUUACAGUAAGAUUUCGAAAAUCAUAAAUACAGUACAAUUUCAUGUUGGCAAAUGAACACUGUGAUAAAUGUAUUAUGUUAUUAUAAAGAUUUGGGUAAUUCAUUCUUCAACAUUUAAUCAUCUUAUAUUGUCACAGAAACUUUUGUUAAAAGGUAUUUUAUUUCUAUACUUUGAAGGCUUGUAGAUAUUCAGGUUUAUUUUUUUUUUUUUAUAGAUUAUAAAUGUAUAUCUAUUUUUGUGCUCAAUAUCAUUUUCUUUUUUUUUAAUAUCUGGCCUUUUAUAUUUUUUGGGUAUCAAGGUGUAAUUUUAUUUUCUUAUUCUCUGUAACUUGAAUCUGUUAACUACUUUUAUCUUUUAGAAUAAAAUCUUUUGAUAAAGUU
This is a long non-coding RNA of Patella vulgata (common limpet), 1228 nucleotides long. RefSeq lists it as uncharacterized. The transcript is spliced from 4 exons. The record is from RefSeq and is a predicted model, not a curated record. Lineage: Eukaryota; Metazoa; Mollusca; Gastropoda; Patellidae.